RNAcentral lists this transfer RNA (104 nucleotides) under Deltaproteobacteria bacterium. RNAcentral's name for it is "tRNA-OTHER". Lineage: Bacteria; Pseudomonadati; Myxococcota; Myxococcia. The record is from RNAcentral.
UGGAAUGUAAUUUGCCGAAGCUACUGGUAUUCCAGUGUUUUCAGAACCCUAUAUUCAGUCUGGGGGACAAGUGGUCGCUGGUUCAAAUCCAGCCGUCCCGACCA